This 90-nucleotide transfer RNA is filed under the name Candidatus Woesearchaeota archaeon. Its description in RNAcentral is "tRNA-OTHER". The record is from RNAcentral. Lineage: Archaea; Nanobdellati; Candidatus Woesearchaeota.
GGGCCAGUAGUAUAACCUGGUUUAGUAUCUUACCAUGGCAUUUUUAUAACCAUAAUGGUAGGGAUCCGCGUUCAAAUCGCGGCUGGUCCA